UACGUAGGGUGCAAGCGUUGUCCGGAAUUAUUGGGCGUAAAGAGCUCGUAGGCGGUUUGUCGCGUCGACUGUGAAAACUGGGGGCUUAACUCUCAGCUUGCAGUUGAUACGGGCAGACUUGAGUUCGGUAGGGGAGACUGGAAUUCCUGGUGUAGCGGUGAAAUGCGCAGAUAUCAGGAGGAACACCGGUGGCGAAGGCGGGUCUCUGGGCCGAUACUGACGCUGAGGAGCGAAAGCGUGGGGAGCGAACAGG
Molecule: ribosomal RNA, 253 nt
Filed under: uncultured bacterium
Lineage: Bacteria
Description: partial 16S ribosomal RNA
Rfam family: Bacterial small subunit ribosomal RNA
Source: RNAcentral